GAUGAACGCUGGCGGCGUGCCUAAUACAUGCAAGUCGAGCGAACGGACGAGAAGCUUGCUUCUCUGAUGUUAGCGGCGGACGGGUGAGUAACACGUGGAUAACCUACCUAUAAGACUGGGAUAACUUCGGGAAACCGGAGCUAAUACCGGAUAAUAUUUUGAACCGCAUGGUUCAAAAGUGAAAGACGGUCUUGCUGUCACUUAUAGAUGGACCCGCGCUGCAUUAGCUAGUUGGUAAGGUAACGGCUUACCAAGGCAACGAGGAAUAGCCGACCUACAGGGUGGCUGGCCAACCCGGAACCUAAGAACGGACCCGGCACCCAACGGAAGCCAGGAGUGGGAAUGCUUACGAAAUGGACGAAAGCCUAACGAACCAAGCCGGGGUGAGUGAUAAGGUUCUUGGGUUCGAAAAACUUUCUAAUUAGGAAAGAACAUAUGUGUAGGUAAAUGUGCACUCCUGGACGGUACCAAAUCAGAAGCAACGGCUAACUACGUG
RNAcentral lists this ribosomal RNA (496 nucleotides) under uncultured bacterium. RNAcentral describes it as "partial 16S ribosomal RNA". It matches the Rfam family "Bacterial small subunit ribosomal RNA", at positions 28 to 507 of the family's 1533-position model. The record is from RNAcentral.